CCUCCCUUGUCGAUCGCGAGCAGACGUGCACCGAGCGUACUCCGGCGUUGACGCAGUGUACGGGCGUCGCGCAACUUGCGUCGUGUAUUCGCGAGGCGUGUUGCCCCAGGCACUUGUUCUUCCCGUGUUCUUGCGAUUUUUGGCCUCUUCACGGCGAUCGUGUGACCUCCGUGUGUGCGAGACAUCCUGGCAGUCCUUUUCUUCGUUCUUGACAUCGUCCGGAACGGUGUGUCGUUGGGCGGAGAGGAAAACAGACAGCCGUCUCGCCGAACCCUGCACAGCCAGCCGAAAGUUCGUGCGUGCGGAUUGUCAUCGCCAAGGAGAUCCUACCUAACCCCGGCGGAUCGUCGGAUGUGCGUCGUGACGCCUAACUGAGUGUGCCUGGAGCGAGAGAGAACCCAACCCUAUCGUCACCGCCACCCGCAGUUUUGUCCGUUUUAUUUCCUCAGCCGUGACCGUCGUCGUUGUCUUCGUCGUGGUGGCUUCCGUCCACCGCGCUUACGGAUAAUGGAAUGGCGACCCGGUUACAUCGCAUGAGCUUUUCGCCGGCAGAAAACCUGGGGUCCCAUCAUACUAUGGAAAUAAAUCCUCCAUACAGCAACCUUCAAAGAAAAGACCAGCAUGGCGUGAUGGGCUUCCUGGGUGGGCUUCCCUCGCUGCCAGGUGGCUCCCAACCAUUGCACCAGCCGCAGCCACAGCACCCACUGGCUGCUGCCACCGCCACCGUGCAGCCGAGCUCAACAGGGGACAUGCAACAGCAGCAGGAGCACUUGCAGUUCCAACAACAGCUCCUGCAACUCAAACAGGAGCAGCAGGUGCAACAGCAGUUGUUGCUUCAGCACUACCAACGGCAACAGCAGCAGCUAGCGCAGCAGCAUGAGAAGCAGCUGCAGGAGCGGAUCAAGGAAUACCUCGAGCAUCAGCGGCAGAUCCAGGAAGAGUACAAGCUUGAACGCGAGCGCCUUGAGAAGGAUCGUCAGCUAGACCAGAUUCGCAAGAAGGAUAAGCACGAACAGAGUGCUGUGGCAUCGUCUGAAGUGAAACAAAGGCUACAGGAGUUUGUCUUGAACAAGAAACAACGGGAAGCAGCAGCUAACAAUGCCAACACAUCACCACCAAAUUUUAGAAACUGGUCCAGGCAGCGUUCUUCUCUGGAUCAAGCUUCGCCUCCUUCAACAAGCGCUGUUUCGCCUCAGUGCAGACAUCUGCUUCUGGGGAAGUACGACGACGAUUUCCCACUCCGGAAAACGGCGUCGGAACCAAACCUUAAGGUGCGCUCUGCGCUGAAGCAAAAAGUAAUUGAGAGGCGCAGCAGCCCGCUUCUGAGGCGCAAGGACAAAGGGCCCAUUCCUUUGAAGCGGCGGCCGCUUACAAUCGAUGGCAGUGGAAGCAAACCUGACUCGUCGGAAGGAUCCCCGCCCAAUGGGUCGCUGUCACUGCACUCUUCUCUGCAUUCCAGUAACGGUAGCACACCCAUUCAGGAGGAGCCUGGCACUUCUCCAUACCACCCUCUGAACCAGGGUGGCAGCAGUGAUCUCGCGCUCUACUCAUCACCCUCCAUGCCCAACAUCUCCUUGGGGCGCCCCCCUGUGGCCACCAGCUCAGCUGAUGGGAAAAUCCUGAAUUCUGUCUCCGAGGCCCAAGUUCGCGCCAUGGCAGCUGCACGUCUUGGGAUGCCACUCACAUCACAUGUGUUGCACUCAUCAUUGCCUUUCUGCUCACCAUUGCCAGUAAUAGAUGGGGAGUUCACGCCCCCAACCAGUCCUGGCUACAUCCAGCAGCAGAUGAAAGGCCUGGAACAGUCUGGGGCUCCAGGACACAUGCUGCAAGUUAUGUAUGCGCCACCUCCAGGCGCCGUUAUCACUGAUGCUCAGGUGGCACAAGCACGCCUGCACAGGACCAUCCAUCGUCCUCUGGGCAGGACCCAAUCAGCACCCCUACCCCUCGGACAUCCAAUGCUGCAGCCGCAGGGUGUGCUGCUCAACGCACAACUCUUUGAGCAGCAGCAACAGCACAACUUGCUCAAGCAGCACAUUCGGCAGACAGUGCUGACUCGGGCGGGUAGCAAGAGCCAGGUGGUGGAGCACGUGGAGGAAGAGACAGAGGCUGCCGUCGCACAAGAGAUGAAAGACCAGCCAGAGGUCAUCGACCUCACAGACUCGCGCAAGGGAUCAUCCGCUUCAUCAACCUCUGCAGCAGAAGGCACACCACCUCCUCACACCUCUGCUGCCACCUUGCUGCAGCUUCAGCAGCGACAGAGGGACCUUAUCAACCGGCACUCACUCCAUCUUGGCGCUGGCAUGGAAGGUUCUGCCUUUACGCGACACCAGCAUGGUGCACGUCCAUUGUCCCGUGCCCUGUCCAGCCCACUGGUGAGCCUGAGCCCUCCUGGAGGAAGCAGCAGCCCCCAGCACCAGUCAGAACUGGGCAGCCCUCCUCCACCACAUGGAAGCCCCCCACACCGAAUGACCACAGCCCUAGCCUACGACAGCCUCAUGCUGAAACACCAGUGCAUCUGCGGCGACUACUCCAGCCAUCCAGAACAUGGUGGCAGGCUGCAGAGCAUCUGGGCACGCCUACAGGAAACAGGACUCGUAUCCCGCUGCGAGAGGAUCCGGUCACGAAAAGCCACAUUGGAGGAAAUACAAUCGUGUCAUGACGAGGGCUACGCCUUCAUGUUUGGUACCAAUCCUCUCAACAGGCAGAAACUGGAAAUGAGCAAAUUAGAGCUUCCCAUUAAAAGCUUUGUGAUGCUGCCGUGUGGAGGUAUUGGUGUGGACUCUGACACUACCUGGAAUGAGCUACACACGGCCAGUGCAGCCCGUAUGGCUGCUGGCUGUGUAGUGGACCUUGCCCUCAAGGUGGCCAUGGGUGAAGCCAAGAAUGGUUUUGCCGUGGUUCGCCCUCCCGGUCACCAUGCAGAGUUCAAACAAGCAAUGGGAUUUUGCUUCUUUAAUUCCGUGGCGAUUGCUGCUAAGCAGCUUCGGCAAAAGCUCAAGAUGGAGAAGAUUCUCGUGGUUGACUGGGACGUCCACCACGGGAAUGGUCUGCAGCAAAUAUUUUACGAUGACCCGCAUGUGUUGUACAUCUCCCUUCAUCGACAUGAUGACGGCAAUUUUUUUCCCGGCACUGGUGAUCCUCAGGAGGUUGGCAUUGACGAUGGCACAGGCUUCAAUAUCAACAUUGCCUGGUCCGGUGCAUUAAACCCCCCAAUGGGUGAUGCCGAGUACAUCGCAGCUUUUCGGACCAUUGUGAUGCCCAUAGCUCGGGACUUCGACCCGGAGAUUGUCCUGGUUGCAGCGGGAUUUGAUGCAGCUGCUGGCCACCCACCUCCACUUGGUGGAUACCAGAUAUCACCAGCCUGUUUUGCCUAUAUGACGAAGCAGCUGAUGACAUUGGCCAAGGGCAAAGUUGUGCUUGCUCUAGAAGGAGGAUAUGACCUGCCGUCCAUCUGUGACUGUUCUCAGGAGUGUGUAGCAGCACUGCUUGGAGAUGAGUGCACACCCUUGCGCGAAGAAGAGCUCACCCGGCAGCCUUGUGCAGCUGCGGUUCAGCUGCUGCAGAAAACUGCCGCCAUCCAAGCACCACACUGGCCAUGCGUCAAGAAGUGGGCACCGACCAUGGGUUUCCUCUCUGCUUGAGGCUCAGCAGAAGGAGAAGGAAGAGGUGGAGACAGUCACUGCCCUGGCCUCCCUCUCCAUGGCUGCUGCACAGAUGCAGGGUCCAAAGUCCGAACCGCCUCAAGAGGACGAACCAAUGGAAGAGGACCAAGAUAAGUGAGCAGUUGAGUGUGCACAAAACAGCAACAUUGCAGAUAAAGCAGUGAGAAAUUUUCAACCACACUGGUGCAAACUGCUGAGGACUCCUGCCCAAAUGAGCCAAGGAACACAAGUUCGCACUGUCACCCUUGAAGCAUCAACGAACAGAAAGCGGAGCGGUACUGCUGUCAUGGCAACAUGCAUGCAGCACCUUUCAUCACUUCUGAGGAUCAGGAAUAACGCCACGGUUUACGUGAAGUCUGAAGGUCAAGCGGGUCAAGAACCAGGGGCACCCACCGAACACAGAUAUAUCUGUGGAAUGACGUACUCAUGUCAUCCUGUCAUUCUCAAUUGGUCCGUAGACCGUUGUUGGAUCAUAAUUUGUUGACAUUGUUGCUGGUUAAGGAGUGGCUUGUCUGCCAGACGUGAUGUUGCAGAUGAUUUUUGAAGACAUGCAUUGAUGUCGUUUUGAUAUUUAAGGCAGCAUGUGAUUGCACUUGGGGUUCUUACCAACAGGUUCAGACAUUUUAUCAGCAAGCAGGUGCCAGUUACACUGUGCUCAAUGCGAACAUCAGUGUUUGUGGCAGAACCUCUCAUUCUGAAAAGCGAUGUACUGUUUUUCGCCUCUUGCAUACCAAGUAUUAUGGCUGCUGUCAGUUUUAAUGCUUCCUACUUGCUGAUUUGUGUUGACUGGCAGUUCUGCGUCUUGCGUGUAUGUUGGCUGCACAGAUUCAGGGCAGUGCGCCCACGUCGUUGCAAAUUAUGUCAACACCCAACUGCUCCAUGUCUGCCAGUUGCACUGUUAAGAACAGAAUGAUGCUGUGGACAUCUGAUGAGCAUCACCCCAACAUGACAGUGUAAGCUGUUAGGCUACAGCUACCGAGUUCUCAAGAUUUUUCAUGUCAGUUAUUGUCAUACCUAUGUUUUAGGGUAUACAGUUGCUUCAUGCAGUCUCUUGUGCAUUGCCUGUACAUUUUCUGGUGCCAGUCACACCAGGUUCGAUAGUCUUUAACUGUGCACUAGCUAUGUCGUUAAACAAGGAUGACAGCGUGACAUUGAACUUGCAUCCGAGAUUGCGAAAGUGUCACCUGAUGCCCUCAAGUGGCCCCAACAGUAUGCAAGACAAGUCUUGAACAGAGUUAGCAGGCUUGCUUGCAUUUUCUGAGAAGGAAACACGUUUGCAAUCCAAAGAAAUGUGCUAGUUUGGCAGUGGCAGAGCAUUCUCGCAGGUUGCAUUGCACGAUAACAUUGAGGGCCUUAAAAAAGCCUGCGAGAGCACUGUGGAGGGAAAGAGACGGGAGCAUUGAAGAAUGUUGCAUUGGUUCAUAUCGUGCGCAUGUUUGGGAAGGAUAUUGCGAUGUACAACUGCACUUUGUAUAUGCACAACUGUGCACGCACUGUCUGCUACACAACCUCAGUGCAGCAUAAAGUAGAGAAACAACUAGCUGCUCUUUUUUUUUUGAGAGGAAGGAAAGAAGAAGAAAAAAAAGGACAAGGAAGAAUCAUCCUUAUAACUGUUGCAGCCAUUUUUACGAAGAAGAGUAAGCAGGGAGUACUAGUUCGUCACCAUAGUGAUUAAACAAAUGUGUUUUUACACUGCUGCAGUGGUCUUAUUAUGCCACUGUUAUGGGCAUUACAUACUACAGAGUCUUUUGGAUGUACUAAGUUUUUGUGAGCUUUAUGACGACUUUAAAACAAUGCUAGUCAGAACCUCGUCAGUAUCGCAUCUGCGGGGGACAUGUGCUAAGUGUUUUUUACGGCAGCAGCUGUGGCAGUAACGUAAGAAAGCAAAGUGCCCGCCUGUUUGUCGCUGUCUCUCACUUCCCAUAGCUGCGCAUAGUUGCCUUUGGUAUACUGCUGUGGUAGACGCUGGAAGACAGGUUUUCAUGGAACUGUUGACGGCAGAUUGCGGGUGGCUUUGGGGCUUUCUAGGGCGUUUGAAUUGGGUGCAGCCCCGCCAGUGCUACGCCCUUGGCACUGGCAUGACUAGUAGGUGCAGUGAACCCAUCUGUAUUAGUCGCACAUGGAAGGACUAAUAGGGGAAUUUCUACACUUGUUUGCCUUGCACAUUGCAUUUUAUAUAUUUUUGUUGUUGCAUUCUACGAACAACCAGAACAAAACUUGAUUGGUUUGUGGUUCCCUGACCGACAACUUUCUAGGCCACACUCUGGUUUUCUGUUACCCGCACAUACGCACAACGCGGACACAAAGACACACACUACACACACACAUGCACACAAAUAUGAGAACACAUUUACAUAUGUGCAGCACUUUUCAGUUCUGAUCCUUUGUUGAGCUAAAGAAUAAAUCAUUCAUAAAAGUGAAAAUUGGUCAUACCAAUGCGCUGGCCUUGCUUGCUUGAAAGGGCAGCUGUUGUGCCCACAGCACUCAUUGUGUAAAUAUGUCCAUGCGAAACACACUGAAGAGGCUAGUGCGAGAGGAGUGCAUACAUGCUGAUUUGAAAGCUGCUUGGUAACAUCAGAAGAAGAACAAAUGCCGCAGACAGGGGCUCGCGUCUGGUUCUUCAGCUGCAGUUUGCCAAGUGAUUUAAGUUCCUUACAAAACUGGCGUGCUUUGUGAUGUACAAUAUAUUUACUGUGCUAGUGAAAGUUCUCAUUAAUGUCUUCAUGCUUUCUUUUUUAUCUUCAUUUUUUCUUUUCACACAUUGUAUUUUUUGACUGUUGAAUGUUAGCGUUUUUCCGAGCUGUAAAACCUGAUGUGAAGGUCGUGUAUACUUGUUUCUUAACCGUCUGUUUGUGUGCACGUGUUGACAUAUACAUACAUAUAUAUACUUGCUUUACGCAACGUUAAACACACAGCUAGACAGGAUGGCACUGUUUGCGACUGUGGUUCUGCUCAGGCACCCUCUGGUCUGCAGAUAAUUGCUUUUCCUGUUUUGCGCUUUCUCGCAUUUUGCUCAUGGCUUCAUUUCUCGUUGCAAUCUUGUGCACAUUCUAAAGCCGCUUCGCUUGUCCAUUGAGCAUUUUAUUUGUAAAUACACAAGCUGUUUUAAGGAUUUUCAUUUAUUCUUGUGUGCGUUUUUUUUUCCUCAACACCGAACUCGUCACUCAUUUGUUGUGCAUCGUGCCACCCCAAUCUCCUCCCCCCCACCCCUCUACACCUGAGUCACUGAUGAUAAUAUAUAUAUAUAUAUAUAUAUAUAUAAAACAUGUUACAGCGCCAUAAUAGUAUAUCAUUUGUACAGUGCUGAUUUUACUCCGUCUUCAGAAACCUCAUUUCAAGGUCAAAACAAAGUAUACUGCAUAACCCAUUGUUGGCUGAGCGCUUAAUUAAGGAACAACAUGCUUUGUUUUGUGAACUUUGAACCCAUAGUCAGUUUGAGGGCCGUUAAAAAGAAAACCAUGAAAGAGAGAAAUAAUUUUGCUGAAAUCUGGCUGUGUGAAAGUGCCUAGCAGAAAGCUUUGAAGUUGUCGCAUGUAUGUUGAUAAUUUUAUUUUGGGUUUUUUGAUUGGUGAUCGGGCUAUAAUGCAUAAUGUGGAAAGAGAGAAAAAAAGGCUGGCUUAUAUGUUUCAUUAGUUCUGCAUACGAUACAUGUGCAUGUGGGUUGGGAUUUUUCUAGAGUGUACCUGAAUAUUUUUUUGUUCUCAUUGUAGGGACACUGAAGGCAAACAUUAAGCCAAGGUAAACUGAUAAAUGUAUGCUCCGAAAAUGUCCAAGUGCAAAGAGCAAAGGAUUUUUGUAAGUGAAAGUCAUAUAUAUGGGAGAGGAUUGGCAACACCACUUUGAGUAUACAGGACCAGUUCUUGAUGCCUUCUUCGUAAUUGGUCAUUAUUUAUUUUUUAUUUGCAUUGCCUACAGCGCCCAUAGGGAAUUAAUGUAGGGCGGAAUAAAAGCCCUCAAAAAUACAGUGAAUUCAUAUACAUAACAAAACGCAGAUUGAUAACAGUGCGUAACAGUUCAGGAAGCUACAAUAAAAAAAUUGUUAAUAAUAAUAGUGGGUAACGAAUGUUCACAAAAAGUUAAAUAUUAAUGACAAAGAGAGAGAAAAAAAAAGUUGAGUAUUGAGCUGCUAAUAUGAAAAGCUAGUUAAUUAGAAUGGGAAAGAAAACUUAGAGAGGUUAAUUUUAAUUAAUUUUCUUGUGAAAGAACUCGCUGGUUCUCUAUUCAUGCCACUCUGUCAGCACCAUUUGCAAGAGAGUGGUGCCCUUUCUAUGCGGCCUUCUGAUUUCGGCAAGGGAAAUAAUGCUCCGAGGAGCAUGACCUCGGAGUUUCUAUGCUGUGUGUCGAUAUGUCAGUAACAUGUCAACACCAGUUUUCUCAGGCCAUCUCCUGUCUAAGGUAGGUGUCGUUUUCAAUAGAAAAUUAUCUGCAAGUAAGUCACCGCUUGAUACAGAACAAAGGCUUCUAGAUUAUGAGGAUUGUCAUCUACCACUGUAAAAUUGAGUUAAUAUUUCCUUUUUAGGGUUCCUUUAACAAAGGAAGUUUAUGUUCUUAAUUUGCCAGCUUGCUCACUUUUAAACUCAUCUGUGCGUAUAAGAAAAAUGAAAAAGGGGAGGCUUUUUUUUUCUGUUUUAUGCAAAUUACAUGCACUGUAGUUAAUGUGUGAAUAAAGACUUGCAUGUUGGUUAAGCUUUAAGCGUUUCACUGCAGCGUAGUGUUGUGUAGUCGACCAAUUUAUGGAGUAAAAGGUAAAAAUUUUAACAGUACCUCUUAUUUUUUUUCCUGCGAGACAAUUAGUGCAAGCCCUUUUUUUUUUGCUUUUUUAUAUACAAACAGCUAUUCUGACUGACGCUGAAACACACAAUGAUCAAUCUAGUCAAUUAAUUGAGCAUGUCUAAGAUGCCCUCUUUUGUUGAACUUUUAAUACCGUUGUUCCUUCGUGCUUUUGUUUUCAAACUUUGCGAUAAUACGUUUAUGAAGUGCUGGUUUCAGAGCGAACAUUGUUGUAGUUAACAAUGACACACUUUCUGUGCAUGUCGGCAGGCAUGAAAAAGUGCUGGGGCUAGUCAUGGUUAGUCAGAGGUGCACUUGGCUAACGUGACGUUUUGUUCUUUGUUUUCUUGUUUGGCCCGUCUUGUUGCGCAGUCUUGUAUAUUGUAUGUUGCAGAGGAUAUACACGAUAACUUAAACUGUACAGUCAUAGAGAUGUUUGUGUUUUCUUUCAAUUAUAUUAUUGCGCUAUUUCAUUACAAAGUGAAGACACGAUAAAUAAAAGCAUAUAUUUUUUGCCACUUGUAUGUACACUAUGUGCCAUUGUAAAGUGUGUUAUAUUAUUAUGGAUACUGAAAGAUGUAUUUGUACUCUCUCCCUUGUUUUCCUUUGUUUUUGUCAUGCAUUUGUAUCAUCAAUAAACCAUUAUUCAGUGCCUAUCA
Dermacentor silvarum is the source of this 9091-nucleotide RNA transcript. It is a transcript of the gene named histone deacetylase 4, with no coding region annotated. NCBI's taxonomy places the organism in Eukaryota, Metazoa, Arthropoda, Arachnida, Ixodida, Ixodidae. The record is from RefSeq and is a predicted model, not a curated record. The transcript has 26 exons.